RNAcentral lists this ribosomal RNA (404 nucleotides) under uncultured bacterium. Its description in RNAcentral is "bacterial SSU rRNA". It matches the Rfam family "Bacterial small subunit ribosomal RNA", at positions 355 to 776 of the family's 1533-position model. The record is from RNAcentral.
UGGGGAAUCUUAGACAAUGGGGGCAACCCUGAUCUAGCCAUGCCGCGUGAGUGAUGAAGGCCUUAGGGUCGUAAAGCUCUUUCGCUGGGGAUGAUAAUGACAGUACCCAGUAAAGAAACCCCGGCUAACUCCGUGCCAGCAGCCGCGGUAAUACGAAGGGGGCUAGCGUUGUUCGGAAUUACUGGGCGUAAAGCGCGCGUAGGCGGGCUAUUAAGCCAGAUGUGAAAGCCCGGGGCUCAACCCCGGAAUUGCAUUUGGAACUGGUAGCCUAGAGACCAGGAGAGGUUAGCGGAAUACCGAGUGUAGAGGUGAAAUUCGUAGAUAUUCGGAGGAACACCAGUGGCGAAGGCGGCUCACUGGCUCGAUACUGACGCUGAGGUGCGAAAGUGUGGGGAGCAAACAGG